Molecule: ribosomal RNA, 253 nt
Filed under: uncultured bacterium
Lineage: Bacteria
Description: partial 16S ribosomal RNA
Rfam family: Bacterial small subunit ribosomal RNA
Source: RNAcentral
UACGUAGGGUGCAAGCGUUGUCCGGAAUUACUGGGUGUAAAGGGUGCGCAGGCGGAUCCGUGCGUCAGAGGUUAAAUAUCCCGGCUUAACCGGGAAAGUGCCUUUGAUACGGCGGAUCUUGAAUAUGAGAGAGGAUGAUAGAAUUCCUGGUGUAGCGGUGAAAUGCGUAGAUAUCAGGAGGAAUACCGGUGGCGAAGGCGGUCAUCUGGCUCAUUAUUGACGCUCAGGCACGAAAGCGUGGGGAUCAAACAGG